GAUGAAGAACGUAGCGAAAUGCGAUAAGUAGUGUGAAUUGCAGAAUUCCGUGAAUCAUCGAAUCUUUGAACGCACAUUGCGCCUCCUGGUAGUCCGGGAGGCAUGCCUGUUCGAGCGUCACCAAAUCCAACUCAAGCGGUUUUGCGCUUGGUCGUGGCGGAAGAGUCGGUCUGGUUGCCGUCUCCCCUCCGAAAAUCAACGGCGGAAAGUCACUGGCAGUCAGCGUAGUAGUAUCGUUCGCCGAACAUCCAGUGGCAUUCCUGCCGACGUACCCCCACAAUUCUCGUGAUUGACCUCGGAUCAGGUAGGGAUACCCGCUGAACUUAAGCAUAUCAAUAAGCGGAGA
Molecule: unclassified non-coding RNA, 346 nt
Filed under: soil metagenome
Description: partial contains 5.8S ribosomal RNA, internal transcribed spacer 2, and large subunit ribosomal RNA
Rfam family: 5.8S ribosomal RNA (bases 1-120)
Source: RNAcentral